AUGCUUAUUUGGUGGGGGGGGGGGGAGAAUACCACCUCAAGAAAAUGGUUUUCCCAGGGUGAGGCCUAUCCAUUGCACUGCGGGUGCGUUGAUCCCUGCGAUUUUUUCCAAUACUGGAAACUCGACUGCGCAAUUUGUGGUAGUGGGGGAUUGCGUGCGCGCUUUCCCCUG
Small nuclear RNA from Pelodiscus sinensis (Chinese soft-shelled turtle), 171 nucleotides. Its record names the gene U1. It matches the Rfam family "U1 spliceosomal RNA". From Rfam's summary of the family: U1 is a small nuclear RNA (snRNA) component of the spliceosome (involved in pre-mRNA splicing). Its 5' end forms complementary base pairs with the 5' splice junction, thus defining the 5' donor site of an intron. The record is from Ensembl. Lineage: Eukaryota; Metazoa; Chordata; Testudines; Trionychidae.